This 567-nucleotide ribosomal RNA is filed under the name uncultured bacterium. RNAcentral's name for it is "bacterial SSU rRNA". It matches the Rfam family "Bacterial small subunit ribosomal RNA", at positions 338 to 915 of the family's 1533-position model. The record is from RNAcentral.
CCUACGGGAGGCAGCAGUGGGGAAUAUUGCACAAUGGGCGAAAGCCUGAUGCAGCGACGCCGCGUGAGGGAUGACGGCCUUCGGGUUGUAAACCUCUUUCAGCAGGGAAGAAGCGAGAGUGACGGUACCUGCAGAAGAAGCGCCGGCUAACUACGUGCCAGCAGCCGCGGUAAUACGUAGGGCGCAAGCGUUGUCCGGAAUUAUUGGGCGUAAAGAGCUCGUAGGCGGCUUGUUGCGUCGGUUGUGAAAGCCCGGGGCUUAACCCCGGGUCUGCAGUCGAUACGGGCAGGCUAGAGUGUGGUAGGGGAGAUCGGAAUUCCUGGUGUAGCGGUGAAAUGCGCAGAUAUCAGGAGGAACACCGGUGGCGAAGGCGGAUCUCUGGGCCAUUACUGACGCUGAGGAGCGAAAGCGUGGGGAGCGAACAGGAUUAGAUACCCUGGUAGUCCACGCCGUAAACGUUGGGAACUAGGUGUUGGCGACAUUCCACGUCGUCGGUGCCGCAGCUAACGCAUUAAGUUCCCCGCCUGGGGAGUACGGCCGCAAGGCUAAAACUACAAAGAAUUGACG